AGACUCUGUGCGCGUGCAUAUCAAUAAGCGGAGGAAAAGAAACUAACAAGGAUUCCCCUAGUAACGGCGAGUGAAGCGGGAAGAGCUCAAAUUUGAAAUCUUAAAGGGUUUCCCUUUACGAAUUGUAGUUUAAAGAAGUGUUUUCUGUUGGAGUUUCGGUAAAAGUUCUUUGGAAUAGGACAUCAUAGAGGGUGAGAAUCCCGUAUUUGACCAUUACUUUUCCAGCUGUGUGAUACACUUUCAAAGAGUCGGAUUGUUUGGGAAUGCAGUCCAAGAAUGGGUGGUAAAUUUCAUCUAAAGCUAAAUAUUGGCGAGAGACCGAUAGCGAACAAGUACCGUGAGGGAAAGAUGAAAAGAACUUUGAAAAGAGAGUUAAACAGUACGUGAAAUUGUCAAAAGGGAAGCGUUUGACACCAGUGUUGUUUAGUUGAAAAUCAAUUCAAUAGUUUUUGAUUCUAAGUAGUAUUGACUUCAUCAGCUUGCUGCUUUCUUCUCAGAAAUUAUUGAAUGCACUUUUCAGUUAACAAGUCAACAUCAAUUUCUUUUGUUGUAAAAGGGUAAGAGGAAGGUGGCUUGCGCUUCGGCUCAAGUGUUUAUAGCCUUUUAUCUCUGCAAUCGGAGAGAUUGAGGUCUGCAGCGUAGAUCCUUCGGGGUUAGAUACAUUGGUGCUAAGCUAUAGCCUUGUAUAGACAACUUGUUGACUAUGCUCAGUCAUGUAGCUUACUCGCUGAUGCUAUUUUACCUACGCUUAGGAUGUUGACAGCAGUAUAGACUGU
This 776-nucleotide ribosomal RNA is filed under the name uncultured Neocallimastigales. RNAcentral's name for it is "partial large subunit ribosomal RNA". It matches the Rfam family "Eukaryotic large subunit ribosomal RNA", at positions 23 to 638 of the family's 3401-position model. The record is from RNAcentral. Lineage: Eukaryota; Fungi; Neocallimastigomycota; Neocallimastigomycetes; Neocallimastigales.